Long non-coding RNA from Herpailurus yagouaroundi (jaguarundi), 263 nucleotides. RefSeq lists it as uncharacterized. The transcript is spliced from 2 exons. NCBI's taxonomy places the organism in Eukaryota, Metazoa, Chordata, Mammalia, Carnivora, Felidae. The record is from RefSeq and is a predicted model, not a curated record.
UGGUCAGGGAUGGAGUCUGGGUGAUAUUUAUUAAAAACAAAAACAAAGCCCAAAACAAAAAACUCCCCAGAUAACGUGCAGCCAGAGCUGAUAACCAUUUUGACUGUCAACAAGCUCAACGGGGGGAGAACAGACCUCCCAGAGAAGCUUUAAGAAAUUCUUCUUCUGGGACUCUUUUAGCACUAACAGGCAUCCAACCUUGCAAUAGGAGUGAGGUCUUUUAAGCGUGCGGGCAGCCUGAGUGAUCAGGGCAAAUACAGAUU